AACCAAGAAGGCUAAGUUAUACUUUACGGUAAAAAGACAGUUAAGUUGGAUUUCAAGUUUUAUUAAUACAUAUAUAAAGGUAGAAUUUGGAUAUAUGUAUAUGAUUUAAGGAAAACUUUGGUACUGAAGCUGUGACAGCUUAGAGGGAAACUGGGAUUAGAUACCCCAUUAUUCUAGGUUAUAAAAAAAUUUAAAUUUACCAGAGCACUACGAACUAAAAAGUUUAAAACUCAAAGGGCUUGGCGGUGUUUUAGACCUCUUAGGGGAACCUGUCUCAUAAUCGACAAUCCGCGCUAAACCUAACUUCUUUUUGUACUCAGUAUGUAUACCAUCGUCGUCAGGUAACUUUUAAAAAGCUAGAAGUUAGCUAAUAAAUUAUGUAAGUUUAAACGUCAGAUCAAGGUGCAGUCAAUAAAGAAGUGAAGAUGGGUUACAAUUAUUAAAUUAUAAAUACGAAAUAAUUAAAUGAAUAAAUAAUUAUGAAGGAGGACUUAAAAGUAAACUGAAUUAUAUAAACAUAUUGAAUUAGGCUCUGAAACGUGC
RNAcentral lists this ribosomal RNA (543 nucleotides) under Siratus pliciferoides. Its description in RNAcentral is "partial 12S ribosomal RNA". The record is from RNAcentral. Lineage: Eukaryota; Metazoa; Mollusca; Gastropoda; Neogastropoda; Muricidae.